UUGCGAAAUAUAAUUUUAUUUUAAAAUUAUCUACUGAAUUCACAAUAAUAACAAUGGGCCACCAUACAAGAAGAUAUGUCUGGGAAAAUUAAUGUCUUUGAUGUAUUUUAUGACCUUCAGAAUUGUGCAAAAUGUCACCCCAAAACUGCUUGAAAUCUCAUCCCUGGGAUUCUAGAUUUCAAACUUUUUCUGGGGAAACAUGCUCCCGCACCAGAAGGCAUUAGGUUCGCCCCCCUCUCCAAAAAAAAAUAAUAAAGCUCUGACUACGCCACUGGUUAGGCUGCUGGGACUAUGGAACAUGCAACUUUAAAAAACUUUAUUCUGCAAAAUUUGUAAGUGUUCAAUCAAAGUAGAGUUGUUCUUAUCACCCCGGAUUGUGUCCCCAUAUUCAAAUAGAGGUAAAAUUAAGUACUUAUAUAGUACUAGUCUUGUCGUGAGAAGUAUUAAAUGUCUGAUCCUAUAUAGACAACACUAUACCAAGCCUUUGGUUUAUUUUCUUAAUAACAUUGUCAACAUGCUCGUCCCAGGUCAUAUGUUGAUAUAAGGUUAUGCCAAGAUAUUUGACAGAUUCUACUCUCUCAAUAUUAUCAUUAUCUGUCCUAAUUUUAAAACUAGAAACAUCAAUCUUUUUUAAUUUUUGAG
This is a non-coding RNA of Paramuricea clavata, 642 nucleotides long. NCBI's taxonomy places the organism in Eukaryota, Metazoa, Cnidaria, Anthozoa, Malacalcyonacea, Plexauridae. The record is from the annotation of a GenBank genome assembly.